ACCCUAAGGCAAACAAUACACAUAAUCAAAUAUAAACCACAUCCAAUACAUCAAUCUACUAAAAUACAAAAGCUUUAAUAUAAAAACCAAGUUUUCAUGAAGAUCUUCCUGCAAUAAGAGCACUUGAGACUAGAUAUAGUCAAUCUACUACAUUUAAUUAAAUUUUCUCCAAUCUUCUCCUACAACAUUAGGUUUCAUAACUUCUCAAGCUCUUUGAUCAUUUGUGAUAACCACUUCAACAAUUGUUAUCAUAGACACCCUUUUAGCUUUCUCAAGACCUAUCUUCUCCUUUCUUCAUUCACCAAGCUCCAAAUUUACUUAUGAUGUACUUCUUUCUUCGGUGCUUGAAAUCUUCCACCUCAGCCC
This 366-nucleotide long non-coding RNA is filed under the name Vigna radiata. RNAcentral describes it as "long non-coding RNA (VRAD_LNC014359)". The record is from RNAcentral. Lineage: Eukaryota; Viridiplantae; Streptophyta; Magnoliopsida; Fabales; Fabaceae.